UUACGGCCCCGGUUCAUUCAUUCGGCCCGCAGCGCCCGGCCCCCGAGCCCCGGGGCGACCCCGCGAGGCCCCCGCCCCCCCCCCCCCGCGCCGCCGGCCCCGCGGGAGCCCGACGGGGUCCGCCCCAGGCUGGGCGCCAGGCUGCACCCGUGGGCGCCGCGCCCUCCUCCGCGGGGCGGUCGCGCGGGCGGCGCGGGUUCGAGGCCCGCCCGGGGCGGCGGCGUCUCCGGGGAGGCGGGCGCUCGGCGAGUCUUCCCCGAGGGCCGCGGGGCGCACCCACCCGGGGCCCGCAGUCCCCCCGCCUGUCGGCCGCACCCGCCGCGCCCCCCGCGGCCUCCCCGGGGCGCCCACGGGAGCCCCCAGCAAGCCCGCCCCUGGCCCGGGGGCCGCGCCCCGCUCUCCGCCCCGCGCCCCGCGCGCCCCGUGCGCCCCGCGCCCCCUCCCCGGCCGGUGACAUCCGCUCCCGCGGCCCCGCGGCGCUCCGGCAGGUCCCCGCCGCGCGCCCCCCGGCCCCGGGCCCCGCGCCCCGCGCCCCCCACCCCUGCGCCAGGCUGCGCCCCGCGCCCCGCGCCCCGCGCCCCGCGCCCCUGCCCCGCGCCCGACGGGAGCCCCGCGGAGGCCGCCGUCCGGAGAACAAAGGCCGGGGGCGCGGGGGGCGGGGCAGCGGGGGGCAGCGGGCAGGGGCGCGGGGCCCGGCGGCGGGGCGCCCUCUUACCGGCUCGGGUGCUGUGCCCCCGGGGAGCGCGGUGCCGCGAGCGGCGCGGGUGCGGGCGUGGCCGGCGGGUGCCUGGCCGCGGGCGGAGGCUGAGUCCCGGCUCGACGGCCGAGCCCGCAGCGAGGAGCGAGUGGGAGCUGCCGCCGCCGCCGCCGCCGCCGCCGCUACUGCCGCCGCCGCCGCUCCUGCCGCCGCAGCCCCUGCGCCGCUCGCGCCCGCGCUCCCCCUCCCCUUCCUGCCCAGCGCCCUCCCCCGGCGCCCGCCCGCCGCCCGCCUCCCGCCUCCCGCCUCCCGCCGCCCGCCGCCCGCGAACCCCGCCCCUCCGCGCCGCCCCGGGCCCCGCCCGCCUCCCCUGCGCCCGGCCCCGCCGCCCCGGCCCCCGGCCCCCGGCCCCCGGCCCCCGGCUUGCGCGCGCCCCCCUCCGCGCCCCUCCCCCGCCGAGCCGAGCCCCGCGUCCGUGGGCAGCCCUCGCCCUCGCCCUCGCCCUCGCCCUCGCCCUCGCCCUCGCCUCGCCCUCGCCCCCCUCUCUCCGUCUCCCCUGGACUGGCCGCAGAGGCCCGCCCCGGGGUGCCCACGGCGCCCCCUGCACCUGCUGCCCGUCCCGCGCCCCGCACCCUCGCGCGCCGCGCCCGCCGGAGCCCCGGACACCUGGACACCCGGACACCUGGACGCCUGGACACCUGGACACCUGGACACCCGGACACCCGGACGCCUGGACACCCGGACACCCGGACGCCUGGACACCCGGACACCUGGACACCCGGACACCCGGACACCUGGACGCCCGGACACCUGGACGCCUGGACACCCGGACACCCGGACACCGGGACACCCGGACACCUGGACACCCGGAUACCUGGACACCGGGACAGCUGACAGCUGGACACCCAGACCCUGGACGCCUGGACACCGGGACAGCUGGACACCCGGACACCGAGACACCCGGACACCUGGACGCCUGGACACCGGGACGCCUGGACAGCUGGACAGCUAGACACCUGGACGCCUGGACACCCGGACACCCGGAGGCCUGGACGCGCGGGAGGCCGAGAAGACCCGGCACCGCGCGGCCGCAGGGGGCCGCCGACCCAGGGCGAGUCCGCGAGCGCGGCCGGGGCGAGGGCGGCGGCCCAGGUCCGCCCGCGUGGGGAGGGCGCCGCGCCGCGCCCCGCGAGGAUGCUGUGGGCGGAGGGCAGGCGGCGGCCGAGCAGAGGCAGCGGCGGGUCCUGCGCGGUGGCGAGCGGCGGGGUCGGGGGGUCCGGGGGGCGGGGGGCGGGGACGGGGACGGGGACUGGGACGUCCACCCACCUGGCUCACCUGCCGGCGGGGAGCGGAUGCGGGAGACGGCGCGGCGACGCUCACCCCGGCUGCUCGUCCUCAGACAAAAGCCCGCGUCACCUGCCCGCGGCCGCCGGGACCUCGGGGCCCCUCUUUGCGGCCCGCUGGCGCCCUCUGGCUGCGCCCGGUCGGCCUGGGCGUACCCGCGGCCCCGGGAAGCCGGCGGCGCCCUCCUCACCUGGGCGGGGCGCCCUCCUCACCUGGGCGGGGCGGCGCGUCCUCCGCCCUCGCAGGCCCGGGACGCGGACGAAGGCCUCCGUCCUCCGUCCUUAGGGGAGGAUGCCACAGGCAGGUGCGUCCGCAGGCAACUGGGGGAGACACUUUUUAACGGGAAAGGUGAUGGCCUUCUUACCGACCAGUUGCCUUGACAUCUGCUGACCCGGCUGGAAUCGGACAAGGACAAGCAGCGUCCCAGUGGCCGUGCAGACAAGCUGGAUCUUUAGACACGAACGGUUUCAAGUCCUAAGUGCCUCUGCUUCCGGCUUUGUGAGUUUGACCACAGAUCUUCAUCUCACUUAGUCUCAGUCUUUUCAUCUGGAAAAUGGAAAUGUUUACAACUUCACUGGGUAGUUUGGAGGAUUAUACAAGAAAAUGUAUCUAAAUCCCUCAGCCAGUUCAUAAGACACACUCAGAAAAAUGUGUCCUGAAGAAGCUGAUGUUAGGGGCGCCCGGGGGGGGGGGGGGGGGGCUCAGGGGUGGAGCAUCUACCUUCCGCCCAGGGCAUGAAGGGGGUGGGCCUGCAGGGCUCCCCCCGGGGGGUGGGGGGGACAUGCUGCGGAACCCAGGGAGGGCAGACAAGCAGAGAGCACAGCCUUUCCCCGAGGCCUGAGAAAAUAGGAUUGGCCUCAGCCCCCGUAACUACCCAUCUAAAAAUUUUAAAACACGACCCCCUGCCUAAAUCUCAAUUUUAUACUGUAUGUCUUAUUCACUGACCAUCUCAAAGGUACGGAUACUUUUUAAAGAGAAACUAAAGACCAGAUUCAAACACCAAGUCCCCGCCUCCGGGCAGGUACAGUAGGACGGAGAAGCUUACCAUCCAGGGCACGAGGUCGCACACUUCUUUUCUGAAAGGGCCGAACAGUGACUCUUUCAGGUUCUGCAGCCCACGGGACUCCUGUGGCUCCUGCCAAAGCCCGCCCUGGGGGCAGGAAAGCAGCCACAGACAAUGCAAAAACAGGUAGGCAAGGCUGCGUGCCAAUAAAGCUUUAUUUACAAAACCCGUUUGGACACAGGGGGUGCAGGUUGCCCAUCCCUGCAAAAUUCACCCGUAGACUAGAAUAAAGUAAGUUUCAUGCUUCCUCUCACAAAUUCAGAAUUCUCAUUUUACGUGCCUUAAAAAAAUUAUUCUGGAGCAACAAAUAAAUGCAAGCAACAAAAAGGAGCUCUGCAAUUUUUUUUUUUAACGUGCUACAUACAGAGUGUCGUGUGAAUAUUUUCUAUUCUCAAAUCAUUUUCUUUUCACUAUGCUAAACUCUACAUUCUUCAAAGUCUCCAAAUCCAUUCAGAUGUUUCUUUCGUCAACUCCAAACGUUUACGACUGACACACGAGGUGAUGAAAAUUUGCAUUUAAUCCUGAUUUCCAUUAAGAGGGGCUUAUACUCACUUCUGAGGCUUAUUGUAUUUUAAUCUCAUUAACUUCACAUUUAUUGUCCCAGUAAUUGAAAUAUAGCUUGACAUAUUUGCCAGUCUAGUCUGGAAUUACCCCCUUGUCGGGAAGCAAAAUGGGGGGAAAAAAAGCAGAAGAGAAGAUAACACGUUUAAAUGCAAACAAUAUAUUAAGCAUAAUAAAUGUCAGGCUUCCUGCAGGACAUUUUCCUGAAAGGAAUGUUUUUAAAUAUUAUACAAUAAAAAACUUUUGCUUCGUGAUAUGGGAUAGCAGACGGACUCCAGCUAAAUAAAAUAGGUGCAGACCCAGCUCCAUUUAUCUUAGAUUCACCCCUAGAGAUUGCAGUUUGCAAUCUGAGUCGGAAUUUAAUUCUUACUCUGUAAUUAAAUGUUGAGAACUGUUCAAAGGUCCUAGUCUGGUUUAAAUCGAAAAUGCAACAACAUGCUGAGAUGCUGUCUUUUUAAAAAUUCAUUUAUUUCUUAUUAUUAGAGAAGGAGAGAGGGGGGAGGAGCCGAGGGAGAGAGAGAACCUCAAGCAGAAAGAACCUGCUUCUGGCACAGAGACUGACUCGGGGCUCCUUCCCAUGACCCCAAGACCAUGACCUGAGCUGAAAUCAAGAGUUGGAUGCUCCACUCACUGAGCCACCCAGACGCCCCUGAGGUCCUGUCUUUUUAAAUCACUGUUCACACUUAAAAGUGGAAGGAACCGAGUUGCCCAAGAACGUACAACCAAUGCCAAGCCCCGCAGCCCCCCGGGGGGAUGUCACUAAUAAAUCUAUAUCAACUAAUCAUAGAUUUGGGGCAGCUCUGGUGGCUCAGUGGUUUAGUGCCACCUUCAGCCCAGGGUGUGAUCCUGGAGACCCGGGAUCGAGUCCCACAUGGGGCUCCCUGCGUGGAGCCUGCUUCUCCUCUGCCUGUGUCUCUGCCUCUUUCUCUGUGUGUG
This 4601-nucleotide long non-coding RNA is filed under the name Canis lupus familiaris (dog). RNAcentral's name for it is "lncRNA (ENSCAFG00000057415.1)". Lineage: Eukaryota; Metazoa; Chordata; Mammalia; Carnivora; Canidae. The record is from RNAcentral.